GACGAACGCUGGCGGCGUGCUUAACACAUGCAAGUCGAACGGAAAGGCCCUGCUUUUGUGGUGUUCUCGAGUGGCGAACGGGUGAGUAACACGUGAGUAACCUGCCCUUGACUUUGGGAUAACUUCAGGAAACUGGGGCUAAUACCGGAUAGGAGCUCCUGCUGCAUGGUGGGGGUUGGAAAGUUUCGGCGGUUGGGGAUGGACUCGCGGCUUAUCAGCUUGUUGGUGGGGUAGUGGCUUACCAAGGCUUUGACGGGUAGCCGGCCUGAGAGGGUGACCGGCCACAUUGGGACUGAGAUACGGACCAGACUCCUACGGGAGGCAGCAGUGGGGAAUAUUGCACAAUGGGCGGAAGCCUGAUGCAGCAACGCCGCGUGCGGGAUGACGGCCUUCGGGUUGUAAACCGCUUUCGCCUGUGACGAAGCGUGAGUGACGGUAAUGGGUAAAGAAGCACCGGCUAACUACGUG
This 468-nucleotide ribosomal RNA is filed under the name uncultured bacterium. Its description in RNAcentral is "partial 16S ribosomal RNA". It matches the Rfam family "Bacterial small subunit ribosomal RNA", at positions 28 to 507 of the family's 1533-position model. The record is from RNAcentral.